UCGAGUGCGUUAUUUCUCUCCGUGUUCGGAGUGAGUUGUGCAAGCUGCAGAGGAAACUGUUGUCUCAUUAAACCCCGUGCGACGAAAACAGCCACUCUUCCAGCAAAAUAACUACUCUCCUCCCUUCAUAAAUCUUGAUUCCAACGAGACGGAGGCCAGAAAUUGACUCUGUCUCUCACAUCAAUGGCUUAAAACUGUUGCAUCACAGUAGUAUGUUCAAAGGGAAUCAGAACUAUCCAACAACAACUUCAGGGGCAGGGAGGCAAUUCUAACUGACAGCCAGAUGUCUGGCCUGGCUGCUUUAAUACCCAUCAAGACUGCAGAUGGUCUUGAGACCCCUGCAUCCAAACAGUGAGUCCCAGUGAAUGAUAAACAACAAUACCACAAAUCAUCAGCGCAAACCAAAAAUGCUGCUGGGACUGAUCAAGAUUUCAGAUGUCAAGAGUUGGCCACCUUCUCUCCCUUCUUCUCCCCCUCCCCCACGCCUGACCCCUCUCCCAAACAAAAAGCUUGUUAGUGGUGGAGGGCCCAGCAGGAAAUGUUUUUACACCCAGGGCCAAAUGCUAAUCCUUCACUGAAGCUUUUAAUAUAUUUAAAUGUUUAGGCGAAGGAGGCAAAAAACGGAUUCCAGUAGAAAUCACUCGACAUGUGGGAUAUGGAGAUUUCUCAAGUUGGUUAAGUCUAUAUUACAUUCAGUGGACUUCCUCUUCAAUUUAGGAUUACUUUAAAGGAGCACACUCUAAUUCAAAGAGAAAGGGAAUUGGCUUGAAUUACCCUUUAAGCAACUACCAGCAUGAAACUUUUCGUUCCUUAAAUGCGUGUUUCUGGGACAAAGCACGAAUAAGUUCUAUACCUAUCCAGGUGCACGUAUUUCUUCAUUUCUUCAUUUUCACUGGCUGCACAUUGUGUUGUCUUGAAAUACUUCUUUGGGCAUAACUAGACUUGACAUGUACUUGCGAUUCAUAAACUAUUACAAAUAUCAAACCACGCUCCUCCAAAUACGGCUAAAGGAUUCUGGGGAAAACUCGGUAACAUUGUCUUGGUUUGUAAAGUGGUUUGAAUUUUUCACGAUGGCAUCAAAUAUUUGCGAAACUGAACGAACUAGGUUCUUCCAGUAAGCAGUGGUGGAUUUUUCAGUGCCGUUUUCACUCGUGUCUCUUAAAGUAACUGCACAUAUGCCUUCUCGAGCAAAUUCCUUUCUAUGAAGUCUUCACAAAGGUGUUUCGAGUUCCCAUUUCAGAUACGUCUCCCUUUUGUGACCUUCUCCCCAAGGGCUGCGGUGCACACUCCUGUAGUUAUCUGUCCCAAACCCAUUUUGAAACUCGGCUUUCUCAAUAAAAAUGUCAAAACCAGCGGCCUUUCAGAGUAGCUGCUAUGAACACGAGCCCUUUCUUCACAGCCGGCCUGACCGUGUCUUCAGUCUCCAUCAGAGACCUGCUGCGUGUGGACACGCAUAGCAGUUUUCCCAACAGAGACGCAUCGAAUGCCCUUUUCCGGAAACAACACUUCCAGAAAUGUGCUGACCAAGAAGAAACAGCAGGGGGAUAGGAGCCUUGGGCUGAGCUCAUUCAAAGAAAUGUAGAGCCAGGUUCCCAAGAGAGAUGGCUCAAGACAAUCCCCGUGGCAGUGAUUGGCUUCAGCAUGGGCUUGGAAAUAGACGCUUCCAUGGCCAUCUGCGUUUCAGACGAAGGAGCUACUAGUGUGAAAUGAAGUUUAAAGGAUCUUAGAACCCGUUCAAGAUUGCUAUUGGCACUAGCGUUCUUAAUAGGAUCUGAAGACGCGCUUCUGGUAAUAGAGGAAAACACAGGCCUAACACUCAGAAAAAAGAUUUCCCCCUUCAAAAUAUAACUAAAAGACUAAAAGCUGGCUUUUCCCUGGAAUGCUACCAUAAACUCCAAGCUCCCACCACUCAUGGGCCAGCACCUUCAUAGUCCUGCAUUCAUUCAGCCCUUGACUGAGCACAGACUGCCUGCCAAGCACUGAUCCAGGCCCUGGGGGUGCUUCUGCGAGCCAGCGAGACAAGUCUGCUGUCCUCAAGGACCUCCGAGAGGGCCCUCUGCAGUCUACCUGGUGCUCUCUUGCCGGAAUCGUCCCUCCCUGGACAAGUCCUCCCAGCGUCCAGUUCCCUCUCCUCUAUGAAGCCUUUCUGAAUUCCUAUUAACUCAUGAUCUUGUCCUUCUUUUUUCGCUACGGCACCUGAAGGCUGUUUCAUACAAUUCGAUGUGUGUCAUUUUAUUUCAUAAAAUCCCCACAGAUUGAAAGCACCGUGCAGGAAUCUAUUUUUCCACAUCCUCACAACCCCGAGGAGACGCACGAAAUGCCUGUUGAUUUCAGAAGAGUACACCAGAAAGGCGGGGCAUGUGGGAGAAACUUUCUGAGGGAACAGAACCCCCCAUGGCCACUCUGUGUCACAUGCACGAUGGGCUGGUUGGCUCCUUGGGAAGGGCAGCACCCGCGAGGACAGACUGAUUCAUGGCUUGUCCAAAGCCAACCACAGGGGAAGCCACGCUCAAGGACAUGUUCCUGCCGCCAGCGAAAGACGAGUGUCUCCUAGCAACCAGAUUCCAGUGGCUUCCUGGCCUCCAGAGUUUGCCCCUGCUCACUGCUUUGUUGCCUCUGGGUUUGCAUUUUGGCAUUUGCUGACCAUGGCAUUCAUUCUUGAUUCCAAAACUUGAGAAAGAAUGUCUGAUCCGCAAGCUAGCUGACUGGACUAGCUCUGAGAACCAUUUCAUUCAUGACAUCCUUUCCGUAAUGCUAGAACUUUCAAGGAACAGAAUGUUUGCUCUUAGCUUAAAAAGGGUGAAUACAUUUUCCCCCAAGAUUGUUAUUUAUAUCAGAGCAGCUGGUUUGAAAGAUACAUAAAAAGGGAAGAGCAUACAUUCUUUCCAUCAAAUAAUCAAAAAGUACUCAGACAUUUUCAAAAAAGAUACACUGUCAUUCAAAACCUGUUUCAGCAAUAAACUUUAACUUGGCAAAUUCACAGAUGCAGAAGGAAAGGCAAGUCGAAUUUGAAGAAAAUGACUCAAGGUCCUUAAAAGUUUGGAUGGCUAAUAAAAUUAUGUCUGCUGCAAUA
Molecule: long non-coding RNA, 3073 nt
Organism: Felis catus (domestic cat)
Lineage: Eukaryota; Metazoa; Chordata; Mammalia; Carnivora; Felidae
Exons: 3
Source: RefSeq, a predicted model, not a curated record